UCCGCGAUUGAUUCUGUCGGUGAUCAUAUAAUUAUUUCAAAGGCUAAGUCAAGUAAAGUUCUUAGUGUUUUAAAUGGUGAAAGUACGAACGGUUCAAUAUAGUUGUUAUAUAUUUGAUUUUAUAUAUUUGUUGAUUUUAUCUAAAUGGUGAACUAUGGUGUUUCUGGAGUGAAUAUAUGCACCAAGGCUCUUUUUAUUGAUAAGCGCGUCUUUUAGACUAAUACCAGUCGAGUUUUAUACGGUUCAUUAGUUGGAAUAGCUUUGCUGAUAGUGGUCUAGUAUCGGCGACAUAUCUAUCAGGUAUUUGUCUUAUCAACUUUAGAUGGUAGUUUAUGUGCCUACCAUGGUUGUAAUGGGUAAUGGAAAAUAAGGAUUCGAAUUCGAAUAAGGAGAGAAGGGGGAAGGAAAGAGGGAACUACUAUUCCCAAGAAAGCAGCAGGCACGCGAAUUAUCCACUUUUAGCAAGAGAAGGUGGUGACAAAAAAGAAACCGUUCUCAUUGAAGUCAGCUAUCGGAAUGGGUACAAUUUAAACCUAUUAACAAGGAUCUAUGAGAGAGCGAGCCUGGUGCCAGCAGUGGCAGUGACUCCAGUUCUCAAAAUAUAUGUCGUUAUUGCUGCGGCUCAUAGGAAUUCAAUCUGAUGACAUGUUCCAUUCAUUGGAUGUGAACUAUGAUUGUAGGCUCAUCUAAGUUUUUCUUGUUUUCCUUGGUCAGUCGCGUAAGUUGGCUAGUGAGUUUAUCUUAAAAAAAUUAGAGUGCUUAAUGCAGUGUUUAGAGUAUUUAGAAGCCGAAUAACGGAAUAAAUAAAUAUAUAGAGGAUCCGAGAUUGAGGAUGAGCAUAAGAGGAUAAGAAAAAAAUUUUUUUUUAUAUAUAAGGUGAUAAUAAUCGAAUUUAUUUAGGUGUUAUCAGUC
Molecule: non-coding RNA, 912 nt
Filed under: Dracunculus medinensis (Guinea worm)
Lineage: Eukaryota; Metazoa; Nematoda; Chromadorea; Rhabditida; Dracunculidae
Description: Eukaryotic small subunit ribosomal RNA
Rfam family: Eukaryotic small subunit ribosomal RNA
Source: Rfam by way of RNAcentral